RNAcentral lists this long non-coding RNA (545 nucleotides) under Taeniopygia guttata (zebra finch). RNAcentral's name for it is "lncRNA (ENSTGUG00000022211.1)". Lineage: Eukaryota; Metazoa; Chordata; Aves; Passeriformes; Estrildidae. The record is from RNAcentral.
AAUUAAGGAAAAAAAGCUAUAAAAAAAAAAAAAAGGAAAAGUCCUGCAUGAAUGGAAAAAACUGAAGAAGUUGGAGUGCCACCUCAAAAAUGGAUGUUAAAUUAUGAAAAUAAUGAUUAGCAGAGAGAAGGAAGUGUAGCAAUCAUGUGGGUUCAGCAGGCAAGCUAAGAAAAAAAGAUCAUAUUCAGAAGUAAGGUGAGCUGGAUAAACCCAAGGAAUUAGAUUCACCCUAAUUAAUCUCAGACAGACAAGAGAAAACUGCUGCCUCUGCAUUCCAGGAGCUACAACUUCUACUAGAUGGCAAAAGACUGCCAUCAAUAAAUGAAAGAAACUGCUGGGAUCAGUCUUCUGGGACGAUGAACUGCUAUUGACUGUAAGAGUUCACUGCUCUGUCUGGAAGAAUUCAGGUAAGCACUUGAGGACACUAUUUACAAACCAAGGAGGAUUCACAAUUACUUCUAGUUCCCAGCAUCUAACUACAUCUUUUCUCUUAGCUGCAUCAUCCAAUCCUGAUUAAAGCAAAUCCUACAAUAUGUGACACUUAU